RNAcentral lists this long non-coding RNA (2131 nucleotides) under Marmota monax (woodchuck). Lineage: Eukaryota; Metazoa; Chordata; Mammalia; Rodentia; Sciuridae. The record is from RNAcentral.
GUGGACUUUGCACCAAGCAAUUCAGAUUCAUUAGCUCAUUUAAACCUCACAAUAUACCCAAUAGCUUUUUUUAUCUUUAUUUUGUUUAUUUGUUUUUAUGUGGUGCUGAGAAUCGAACCCAGUGCCUCACAUUGCAAGACAAGCACUCUGCCACUGAGCCACAACCCCAACCCUACCCAAGAGCUUUUGAUUUUGCAGUACUAGACUAGGAAUUGAAUCAAGAGGCACUUUACCACUGAGCUACAUUCCCAGCCUUUUUUAAUUUUUUUAUUUUGAGGCAGGGUCUUGUUAAGUUGCCCAGACUCAUCUUGAACUCGGGAUCCUCCUGCCUCCCAAGUCUCUGGGAUUACAGGUAUGCACCACCAUGCCCAGCGCUAAGUAAAUGAUUUUAUUUUUAUUAUCCCUAUUUUGCUGAUGUGGAAACUGAGGCUCACAGAGGUUAUGUGAAUAGCAGCAAAGCCAUGACUCAAACUUUUGGACCCCAGAGUCUAUGCUCUGACCCUUUAUGUAAUCAUGGCUUCUUGAUAUUUUAUCUGCCAGUGUGAUGGCAGAUAGAUGGAAAAAGAAGCAAGAAUUGUGGCUUGAGAUUGUUUGUGUUGCUUUCAGCCCCAUCUGAGGGUUUCAUGGCUUCAAAAGUCAGCAAAUCCCUACCUGAGUCCAGAGUCACACGGCUUCUUCAAACUUGGACUAUAGCAUUCUGAGUUUACCUUACUCCAUAAGCCAAACUUACAGCCCAACAGCCCCUUACAUUGAGGAGAAGACCAUAAAAAUAAGACACAUGGAAAGAAUGGGUGGGCUUCUUCCCCCUGGCCAUGUACUUGGUCUGUAAUCAGUAAAAACCAGAAAUCCUGUUCAGGCUGUAUCCUCUGUCUCUUGCCUCACAGGUUCCAUGAAUAUUGUUCUCCUUGUAGGUGUUUUAGCUGCACUUUGCAGAGUUCCACACAAUCAAAGAAUUCAAUAUGAGUCAAAUGCUUACCAUAAUGGAAUAUUCUGACAUUUCAGAACAACAGGCUUGGCUCAAGGUGUUUCAAAAAGACACGCAUCGAAUGUCUUGAAAGCUGUUAUAAGAGAUUCAGCAGCUUUCACAUUGACCUCAAUAAACAAAAUGAAAUGUUUGCUCAUUUCAUGGUUGCCAUGUUCCAGUACAAACAGCCUGGUGUAUGUCCUACUUUCUACUCACCUCCAUUACCUUGGCCAUGUGUAUAUUAUGACCGGUAGGACUCAAAAAUCAUCUUCUGGAGGUGGGUAAGGAGGCAGGGAAAGUAAGAAGGUCAUAUCCCAAUUAGGGGCAACCCUGUUUCAGGACAGCUUGAAAUCAUUAGAUACCAGUGCCCACCAUUAGAAAAGUUAGAACAGCAUCAGAGUUAAUAUUCAUACUCAAGGCAUUCAGUGCAUUUAGGAUUAAAUCAAAGUUCUACAGGGAGACAGGGUUGCCAAUGCCAACAGUGUAAACGGUCCUCACAUUUCCAGCAAACCACGUGGGCGAAGAACAAGGAAAUCCAGCACCCAUCUUGAACUCUUUUUCCAAAACAAAGGCUAAAUGCCCCUGCCCCCUCACACACACACAUACACGCGCACAUGCACACACACACACACAAACACACACACCCAUCCUCCCCAAUACCCAUGGACAGGUGAGCUGCCCCUGCUGUAGGCCUCAUAAGUAGUUUUCAGUCCUGGCCAGUCCUGGCCUUGGUUCCAUGGCUAUUUUGUCUUUCUCUGCCUGUCAUUCUGUGACCCCUGAAGGUAGGGUGAAAUCCAACCUGCUCAGAACCUGCCUCACACCUAACUUAAAUAUAUUUUCACUCACUGUAUGAAUGAAUUAUGACAUCGAUGGGGAAGAAGGAAUGCCUGGAAAAACAUGGGUGAGAAUUAGCUCCGACGUCAUAGAGAAGACCUGGGAUCCCCAGGAGGGUGCUCUAGACACUAAGGCUGUGCCAAGCCCCUUCUGCUGGGGGAGACUUUCUUUGGUUUAGUAAGAUCUUUUAAAGACUAAGGUACCCUUCCUCAUUUAACACCUUUUCAAAGCACUGUAAGCCUUGGCUUUUUAAACCACUUACUUGUCCCUGUUUUCAUUUCUGGACAAAAUGCCAUAUGUAAAAACCAAUAUUUUCUGUGUUCCAAGUUUAAG